Molecule: ribosomal RNA, 253 nt
Filed under: uncultured bacterium
Lineage: Bacteria
Description: partial 16S ribosomal RNA
Rfam family: Bacterial small subunit ribosomal RNA
Source: RNAcentral
UACAGAGGAGCCGAGCGUUGUCCGGAUUGACUGGGCGUAAAGCGCGCGCAGGCGGCCUCGCGCGCCCGACGUGAAAGCCCCCGGCUUAACCGGGGAGGGUCGUUGGGGACGGCGGGGCUUGAGGGCGGGAGAGGUCGGUGGAAUUCCCGGUGUAGUGGUGAAAUGCGUAGAGAUCGGGAGGAACACCUGUGGCGAAGGCGGCCGACUGGGCCGACCCUGACGCUGAGGCGCGAAGGCGUGGGGAGCGAACGGG